This 577-nucleotide ribosomal RNA is filed under the name uncultured bacterium. RNAcentral's name for it is "partial 16S ribosomal RNA". It matches the Rfam family "Bacterial small subunit ribosomal RNA", at positions 355 to 926 of the family's 1533-position model. The record is from RNAcentral.
UGGGGAAUUUUGGACAAUGGGCGAAAGCCUGAUCCAGCAAUGCCGCGUGUGUGAAGAAGGCCUUCGGGUUGUAAAGCACUUUUGUCCGGAAAGAAAUCCUUGGCUCUAAUACAGUCGGGGGAUGACGGUACCGGAAGAAUAAGCACCGGCUAACUACGUGCCAGCAGCCGCGGUAAUACGUAGGGUGCAAGCGUUAAUCGGAAUUACUGGGCGUAAAGCGUGCGCAGGCGGUUUGCUAAGACCGAUGUGAAAUCCCCGGGCUCAACCUGGGAACUGCAUUGGUGACUGGCAGGCUAGAGUAUGGCAGAGGGGGGUAGAAUUCCACGUGUAGCAGUGAAAUGCGUAGAGAUGUGGAGGAAUACCGAUGGCGAAGGCAGCCCCCUGGGCCAAUACUGACGCUCAUGCACGAAAGCGUGGGGGAGCAAACAGGAUUAGAUACCCUGGUAGUCCACGCCCUAAACGAUGUCAACUAGUUGUGGGAUUCAUUCCUUAGUAACGUAGCUAACGCGUGAAGUUGACCGCCUGGGGAGUACGGUCGCAAGAUUAAAACUUAAAUGGAAUUGACGGGGUCAUAGCU